Oncorhynchus keta (chum salmon) is the source of this 1656-nucleotide long non-coding RNA. RefSeq lists it as uncharacterized. The transcript has 3 exons. The record is from RefSeq and is a predicted model, not a curated record. Lineage: Eukaryota; Metazoa; Chordata; Actinopteri; Salmoniformes; Salmonidae.
GAUUUAAGUGUUGAUGCCGUAGCAUGCAUGUAGAUAAUAUCCCCAUGAUCUAUAACAGACAUAAAAGUAGCUUGCACAAUGUGUCUUCUAUUUGUAGAGGACAAGCAUGUCCUGUUUCUAUAGAGGAAGCCGUUUACAAAGUUCAUCAACAUGAAUUUUAAAAGACAGUUCAUCAUCUAACCAUAUCACUAAGUAUUUAUAUGCAAAGACCUGAUUAAUUCAAGAACCAUCUAAACUCUUAAGUGCAAGUGUAUUUUCAACCAACUAAUAGUCAUUCGAUAUGGAUUUAAUACCCCAGUUGUCAUCACCCUAGAGAGUUAACAAUAGGGAUUCCUUUUGGAGAUGGCCUACCCAAAACCUUGAUUUUGGACAAAAUGACCUGAAUGGACAAUUACGUCCAAGGACAAACAAGAAAACACUUCUAACAAACCAAAACCUGCAAAAAAACACAGAGGAACCAGGAAAUACCAUCCAACACAAACUGAGUGAGUAAUAUUCAUUAUGAAGCUACUUCUGAAGGCAAAAAGUGAAAGAGAAUGAUCACUAGGUCAUUUUAAUAUAUAAAGCUAAGUAAAUAAGUAAACUAAGAUACCAAGCUGCUAGGACAGCACAGACCUGGUGGCACCUUCAAUUUGCACUGAAGUAUGAAGUCAGAGGUGUGAAAACUCUUGAGCCUAACCACGGCAGGAGAGUUUCACAGCCCCCCUCCACCCAAACGCAGAGGCCUUUGAAGCCCCAAUGGCUUUUCCCUGUCCAGAGAUCAUUACAAUACAGUACCACAUGGAUAUUAAAAAUAACCCUGUCCAGAGGUCAUUACAAUACAGUACCACAUGGAUAUUAAAAAUAACCCUGUCCAGAGGUCAUUACAAUACAGUACCACAUGGAUAUUAAAAAUAACCCUGUCCAGAGAUCAUUACAAUACAGUACCACAUGGAUAUUAAAAAUAACCCUGUCCAGAGGUCAUUACAAUACAGUACCACAUGGAUAUUAAAAAUAACCCUGUCCAGAGGUCAUUACAAUACAGUACCACAUGGAUAUUAAAAAUAACCCUGUCCAGAGAUCAUUACAAUACAGUACCACAUGGAUAUUAGAAAUAACCCUGUCCAGAGGUCAUUACAAUACAGUACCACAUGGAUAUUAAAAAUAACCCUGUCCAGAGAUCAUUACAAUACAGUACCACAUGGAUAUUAAAAAUAACCCUGUCCAGAGGUCAUUACAAUACAGUACCACAUGGAUAUUAAAAAUAACCCUGUCCAGAGGUCAUUACAAUACAGUACCACAUGGAUAUUAAAAAUAACCCUGUCCAGAGGUCAUUACAAUACAGUACCACAUGGAUAUUAAAAAUAACCCUGCAAGGAUUAGGUCCUCGAGGACAAUCCAGAGACACUAUUUGCUGACUGCUACAAAGAGGGGGAUGUAAUCAACUUAAUUUCCCACACAGACCAUCCCCUGGAAUGGCACAGUGCUAUAAGAGCACACUACCCCUAUGUCAAGAGAGGGGGUAUUGGCCCAGGGUGGAAACUCAGAAUACUAGACAUUGAGGGUAUUGAAACAACCUCUGUCAGCAUAUACAAGUUUGAUACAGUAAUGAUGCAGGGAAUCAUCAAGCAGUUCCAGCAGGACUUUUAUGGGAUCAAAGAGAGAGAACAACAUGGA